RNAcentral lists this ribosomal RNA (326 nucleotides) under uncultured eukaryote. RNAcentral describes it as "partial 18S ribosomal RNA". It matches the Rfam family "Eukaryotic small subunit ribosomal RNA", at positions 1470 to 1796 of the family's 1831-position model. The record is from RNAcentral.
CCCUUAGAUGUUCUGGGCCGCACGCGCGCUACACUGAUGCAUUCAACGAGCACUAACCUGUGCCGAAAGGUUCGGGUAAUCUUGUGAAAUUUCAUCGUGAUGGGGAUUGAUUAUUGCAAUUUUUAAUCAUAAACGAGGAAUGCCUAGUAAGCGUGAGUCAUCAGCUCACGUUGAUUACGUCCCUGCUCUUUGUACACACCGCCCGUCGCUCCUACCGAUUGAAUGUGCCAGUGAAAAGUUAGGAUUGGGCGUGGGAGACGGCAACGUAUUCCACAUCCGAGAAAAUCUUUAAACUUUCCCAUUUAGAGGAAGGAGAAGUCGUAACA